CAGGCUCGCAGACAUUGGCCCUUUCCCGUUGCCCCAGCAGCUAAGUCAGGGGCUACUCAGCUUCCCCUGGGGCUCAGCUCCUCACCCCGAUCCUGUCCCCACUUCAGCUCUUGUUUUUUUGGCUUUUAUUUGUAUGAAUUCCUUGGGAACUUCACAUGUAUUUCGAUCACAAUCCCUCCUCUACCCCUCUCCUCCCAGAACCACCCCCAUCCUAUUCCAGCUCACCGACUCCGUGUCCUUAUUCAUUUCUGCUAAACUUUUUGUUUUCGAGCUUUCUUUUUAAUUAUGUAUAUGUGCCCAGGGAGGCUAGAGAACUCAGAUCUCCCUGUGGCAGUCGUGAGUUGCCCAUCACUAUAGGUGCUGGGAGUCGAACUUGUGUCCUCUGCAAGAGCAGUGUGUGCUCUUAGCCACCGAGCCAUUUCUUCAGCCCCCUGGCUUUGUUUUUGUUUGUUUUGUUGUUGAGAUAGGUCCCACACAUCCUGGGCUGGACUUUAAAUAGCUAUGGGGUUAAAAAGACCUUGAGCCUUUCAUCCUCCUGCCUCCACUGCCCAAGUCUGGGAUGCUCCACCGUUUAUGAGGGGCUGGGGAUGGAACUCAGGCUAGUCUAACAUUUUGCCAUCUGAGCUGUAUCCCCAGGGCAUUCAAGCUCUUCCUCGUGUUCCUGUCUGGAAUCUGGCUGAGAAUCUCCUACUGUUGCUGUCAACCAAUCUCAUCCGUGUCUGUUUCCCACACAACUCCACCUUCAGCUGGGGCCUGAGGGUACCCUGUGCCCACCACUCCCUUCCCAUCCAUCUUAUUCAUCUCACCAUCCGGCCAUCUACCCAUGUGCCAGAGAGGACCCCGAGUCGUAGCAUCACAGACUUAGCACUCUCGGAGGCUCCUCUCUUCUGUCUGAUGGACGGCUGCACACACCGAGGGCACUGAGCUCGCCUGAGCUUGCAGGACAUCCCAUUUCAGGGUGAGGAGGCAGCAAGCCUGCUCUAUGGACCUGAAGGCCACAGACUGUACCUCAUCCAUCUGUGCAUGUGUGUGCAAGUGUGUGUGGGUAUGUAUGUGUGGGUAUGUAUGUGUGCAAGUGUGUGUGGGCAUGUAUGUGUGCACAAGUGUGUGUGCAUGUAUGUGUGGGCAUGUAUGUAUGCACAUGUGUGUGUGCAAGUGUGUGUGGGCAUGUAUGUGUGUGCAUGUGUGUGUGUGUGUACAGUCUAUAUAGCAUAAAUGAAGUCCAGAAUAGAGCACUGAUCCCUGGCUCUGGAGCUAUAUGUGGGUGUGAGCCAUCUGACGUGGGUGCUGGGACCCACACUGACCUCUAGAAGGCAGUGAGCACUCCUAACCACUGAGCCAUCUUUCCAGCCUCCUAUUAAACUAUUUCUUUCGAGACCUAUUUUUGUUAUUUUAUGGAUAUAAGUGUUUG
Molecule: long non-coding RNA, 1411 nt
Filed under: Mus musculus (house mouse)
Lineage: Eukaryota; Metazoa; Chordata; Mammalia; Rodentia; Muridae
Description: predicted gene, 33858
Source: RNAcentral